CCUACGGGUGGCAGCAGUCGAGAAUCAUUCACAAUGGGGGGAACCCUGAUGCAGCGACGCCGCGUGGGUGAAGGAGUAUUUCGGUAUGUAAAGCCCUAUCAGCAGGGAAGAACAAUGACGGUACCUGACUAAGAAGCACCGGCUAAAUACGUGCCAGCAGCCGCGGUAAUACGUAUGGUGCAAGCGUUAUCCGGAUUUACUGGGUGUAAAGGGAGCGCAGGCGGCGCGUUAAGCCUGGUGUGAAAGCCCGCGGCCCAACCGCGGGACUGCAUUGGGAACUGGCGCGCUGGAGUGCCGGAGGGGUAGGCGGAAUUCCUAGUGUAGCGGUGAAAUGCGUAGAUAUUAGGAGGAACACCAGUGGCGAAGGCGGCUUACUGGACAGUAACUGACGUUGAGGCUCGAAAGCGUGGGGAGCAAACAGGAUUAGAUACCCUGGUAGUC
RNAcentral lists this ribosomal RNA (441 nucleotides) under uncultured bacterium. RNAcentral describes it as "partial 16S ribosomal RNA". It matches the Rfam family "Bacterial small subunit ribosomal RNA", at positions 338 to 795 of the family's 1533-position model. The record is from RNAcentral.